Molecule: non-coding RNA, 416 nt
Organism: Macaca mulatta (Rhesus monkey)
Lineage: Eukaryota; Metazoa; Chordata; Mammalia; Primates; Cercopithecidae
Source: RefSeq, a predicted model, not a curated record
GCUAGAUCUCUGGCUUCCGGAGGGUCAGAGAUAAGAGAGUGAGUUACCAGGCUGUGGAUUUCAGGGGAAAGUUCUGUUUCCAGCCUACUGGGAAAGAUGUGUCCAUCUGUCCCUGAGCAGGUGGUUCGUGACUGUAGAUCACACUCAGAUUUUCCGGCCCAGACCAGGCUAGCCUUGAGCAGAGCAGGAAUGAGCCUUCUCCCAGGGCUGGAAAAGAAGCUUCCGUCUGGAAGGGGCAAAAGAAAUGACACGGUGCCCCUGGGAUCCCCAGCCCAGCCUCCCAUGCUGGAAGGGCUGGAGGGAGGAUUGACGCAAGGAGUCUGAAAAUUCAUGCCCGCCUUCGUCUGGAUUUGUGGUUGCUUCUGUAAUUUGUUUAGGUGGCUUUUGAUCUGUGAAACCAUUUGGUUUUCAGCUUU